UUGUGGCCAAUUGAUGUGCAAAGGGUCCUCGUGAUUCCUCUCCCUAUGCAGAAUAUGUCGGAUUUCAUCGUCUGGAGCUAUACAAAAAAUGGUGUAUUCACUGUUUGAUCAGCUUAUUUGGAGAAAUGGAACCAACAACACGGGAGGAAAUUGCAAUAUACUAAUGGUAUGGGUUGUACCAAUGUCAAUCCUAUUUGGGGUAAGAUUUGGAAAUUAUCAUGUCCGACAAAGGUAAAGAUAUUUAUUUGACGAACGUUGCAUGAAACUCUACUGUGUCGUGUUACACUUGCCAAUAGACAUAUGAAAGUUUCGCCCCUUUGUCCAUCUUGCUCGAAUGGGCAAGAAGAUACAAAGCAUAUCUUGUUUCUGUGUCAGAAGGCAAAAGAGGUUUGGGGAAAGCUGGGGAUGUACGAGGUAAUUAAGAAAGCUUGUGUCCUUGAAUUUUUACUUCUUAUGCCGCAGCAAGAACUAUCUAUAUUAGAUUGCCAAAAUACAAAUGAAUUAAUCGCGAUAACCGCCUGGUAUUUAUGGUGGGAGAGACGCAUGUUGGUUCAUGAAGGGAAAUCUCAAGAAGUGAAUCAGAUUUCGAUGGGGAUUCGUGUUAUAACUGCAAACUAUGUGAAUGCCCACUCCCCUAGUGCGACUAGUAGAAAAGAAGGAUGGAGCCGACCUUCUACGUGUUUUUGUUAA
RNAcentral lists this ribosomal RNA (690 nucleotides) under Triticum aestivum (bread wheat). RNAcentral describes it as "partial small subunit ribosomal RNA". Lineage: Eukaryota; Viridiplantae; Streptophyta; Magnoliopsida; Poales; Poaceae. The record is from RNAcentral.